This 22-nucleotide non-coding RNA is filed under the name Arabidopsis thaliana (thale cress). Lineage: Eukaryota; Viridiplantae; Streptophyta; Magnoliopsida; Brassicales; Brassicaceae. The record is from RNAcentral.
GACAUGAACUGAUUCUGGAGCA